UAGAAAGUGGUGUAGUGGAAGCACUAAGAGUUUUGAUCUCUUGAGGAUGGGUUCGAAUCCCUUCUCUCUAG
This 71-nucleotide transfer RNA is filed under the name Salvethymus svetovidovi (long-finned charr). RNAcentral's name for it is "tRNA-Gln". It matches the Rfam family "tRNA". From Rfam's summary of the family: Transfer RNA (tRNA) molecules are approximately 80 nucleotides in length. The record is from RNAcentral. Lineage: Eukaryota; Metazoa; Chordata; Actinopteri; Salmoniformes; Salmonidae.